UAGCCGUAAACGAUACUCGCUAGGUGUCGGCCACGGUGCGACCGUUGUCGGUGCCGUAGGGAAGCCGUGAAGCGAGCCACCUGGGAAGUACGGCCGCAAGGCUGAAACUUAAAGGUGUUGGCGGGGGAGCACAACAACGGGUGGAGCUUGCGGUUUAAUUGGAUUCAACGCCGGAAAUCUUACCGGGACCGACAGCAACAUGAAGGCCAGGCUGAAGACUUUGCCGGAUUAGCUGAGAGGAGGUGCAUGGCGUAGUCGUGU
This 261-nucleotide ribosomal RNA is filed under the name uncultured archaeon. Its description in RNAcentral is "partial 16S ribosomal RNA". It matches the Rfam family "Archaeal small subunit ribosomal RNA", at positions 748 to 1009 of the family's 1478-position model. The record is from RNAcentral.